UGAGGUAGUAGGUUGUAUAGUUUAGAAUCAUAUCCCGGUGAACUAUGCAAGCUUCUACCUCACC
Molecule: microRNA precursor, 64 nt
Filed under: Caenorhabditis brenneri
Lineage: Eukaryota; Metazoa; Nematoda; Chromadorea; Rhabditida; Rhabditidae
Description: let-7 stem-loop (cbn-let-7)
Gene: cbn-let-7
Source: miRBase by way of RNAcentral